Acanthochromis polyacanthus (spiny chromis) is the source of this 4045-nucleotide long non-coding RNA. RefSeq lists it as uncharacterized. The transcript has 3 exons. The record is from RefSeq and is a predicted model, not a curated record. Lineage: Eukaryota; Metazoa; Chordata; Actinopteri; Pomacentridae.
UCUUCCAGUGGGUACUCCUUACUACAUGUCACCAGAGAGGAUACACGAAAAUGGCUACAACUUCAAAUCUGACAUCUGGUCACUAGGAUGCCUGCUCUAUGAGAUGGCAGCCCUACAGAGUCCGUUCUAUGGGGAUAAGAUGAACCUCUACUCGCUUUGUAAGAAGAUAGAACAAUGUGACUACCCCCCUCUUCCCUCAGAUCACUACUCAGAGGAGCUGAGGAACUUGGUAGAUAUGUGCAUCAACCCCGACCCGGAGAAGAGGCCGGACAUCACCUACGUGUACGACAUUGCCAAACACAUGCAGAACAUGACACAGGGCAGUUAAGCCCAGAGUUACACACACUAUGCCUUGCAGAACUCCUCCCAACAUCCCCUCUUGCUUUUCAUGCUGGACUCGUAAUAAACCUUACAGCUUAUUUUCAGAGCACAGCUCUGGAGUAAGUAGUACAUGUACAUGUAACAGAUUUUUAUUGUCAUGGAGAUGGUAUAGUCACUAACAUGACUGACACCCAAACCUUUUCUGCCCUAGGAUAAAGAUUAUAGAGAUGAUACUUUUUGUCCAUGGAUCUCCCAUUCCUUAAACUUCAGUAAUGUUAUUAUUACACUGAAAAUCAGUGUAUUGUAGCUCACUGAUGUGUUGCUUUGGCUUUAAAAAGCAUGUCAUUUUUUCAUGUAGUGAUGUAAAGCUGUCCUUCAGCAGCUGCUACUAGCAGAUAUACUGAUAGAAAGCAGGUAUACUGGAAACAGGUAAAAUUUGGAAAAUUGUAACGUUCAGUGUUUUUUAGUUAAACCGUUAAUCGUUGCAACUAAGACGAAAUAUCACCUUGUAGGCUUAUGGUGUGUCAAAUUAGACCUGUAGUUAUCAAAUGGCACAGGGAAAGACCAUGCAACAUUUCAGCUAAAAUUGGAGUGAAAAGACUUUCACUCAAUGACAGCAAAUCUGAGACGCAACAGAGUGUAACUGAUGGUUGAAGUGUUGUUGUGUUGCACUUUUUACCCUGGUACUGGAAGGCUAGCAGGGUGAUCAUGUCUAAUGAAUGUAUGAGGAAAGGAAGGAACAUAGUAGAUGGUAGACUAGAGACGUGCUAGGGGGAGAACAUGGGCAAAUGUCUCCACAACACUUGGAAUGUAAGUCAUUUUGGCACCUAUGUGUUGUCUUUGAAAAAUUCAGAAUGCAUCUUUUUUGACAGCCUAGAAGGCAUGGGAGCUGUAACAAAAGCAGUUUUACAUUCUCUGUUUACCUUAGUCACUGACACCAAAAUAUUUCCUCCUUAGUUCAACUUAGACAAAGUAUACUGUUGUUGCAUAAUGUGAGGUUUUGUAGCGCCGGUAAAAAUCACAUAAAUCAAAGUCGAACCACAUUGUUCUCCAUCGUGGUUCAAUGGAUGCAUCUGACCCACUAGAAAUGUGGUCAAACUAGACAAAAUGGUUUUAUAACGGUGUGUUAAUAAGCCAUUUACAAUGCAUUACCAAAUGGUUCGUUUGAUAUUUAAAGCCCUUAAAAGAUGUUAGAUAACAUCAAUAGGUUGCACACAAAUCAUUUAGAAAUGUGGUAAUAAACCAUUUACAAUGUAUUACCAAGUAGUGCUGUAAAUGUGGAAUUUAUGCAUAACACAUGUUUAUGAGUGGUAAACCUACCAUCAGAACAGUAAAAAGACAUAAACUUGUGAACAUAGAAGGGAUUAUUUACAAAAGCAAUAAUGGUCUGUGUAUUAACAGUAAAAUGAUCAACAACUGAUGCAUUUAUUACAUCUAUUUUAUCAGUUUGAUAAAUGAAAACAAUCUAACAAUUGAACUUUCAUUUAUCCAUCUAGAUAUUUAGAUAUGUAUGUAUAGAUAUUUAGACAUAGAUAUAUAGAUUUAGAGAGAUGGAUAUAAACGGAUACAUAGGCAGUAUUUACAGACUUAAGAUCAGAAAUUGUCUAUAUAUUUAAACCUGUAGUCUUGUGUCCACUAUUUUGUGAUAAAGAAUGCUACAUUUUCAAGUUUUAUACAUUGUAUUGUUACUUAGAUUACUUUUACACCGAGAGUAUAUGCAGUACUUGCUUUCAAAUAUAGAGCUGCAGAAUACCUCAAGCUGAUAAAUGAGGUGUAGUAAAUGAAUCGAUUCAGCAUUUACAACAUUUUUCAAGUGUCUUACAAACAUAAGUAAUCUACUCAUGUUAUAUAAUUGCUUUUAAGGGUUUAUCAUGUAAAUGUAACCGUUGUAUAAAUGAUUUAUUAACAUGCCUUAUUAUAAAGCCUUACCACCAAGAAUUUGUUCAUGUUGCUGUGCAAAUUGCAGUUUGUGUGUUUUUAAGAAACAAACAUCAGACAAUAGAUCCUUUCCUUAUGCAGCCAUCUAUGCUAGGUAACCAGAGUGUGCCUAACUUAUGUCCUCAGCUGAGAGGAAAUAAGACAAAAAUCAACAUCCAGAGCAACUUAUAUAUACAAUGUAUGACAAGUAUAUCAAAGACUUGGUCUAAAAAAGAAAAGGAAAAAAAUAUCAGCCGGACUAAUUUAGUUUUACUGUGCAUAGCGAAGAAUAAAACCCUCCCUGAAUGAAUAAAGGGUUUGAGUGACCUGUUGUGCAUUCAGAAGGGUUUUUGUUUGUUUGUUUGUUUGUUUUUUGUUUUUACAGUGAAUAGGUUUACACCAGUGGGUCACAAGUGAUCAGCGCUGACUACCGCUGGUUUACAUAAUAACAAUGACACACCAUCGAAGGUUUAGUAGGUGAAAAAUGAUUGGUUUCUUUCACUGUCUUAUGAAUUCUCUUUUAACAUUGUCAAAUAGCCUGUUAGCCCUUCAUUGAAAUUGUAUGCCCACUGUUUUUACAGAUUUCCUUUCUUUUUUAAUUAACAUUUGAUGCUAUUAACAUGUUAUAUACAACAUCAAAGCUUAUACAGUCAAGCCUGAAGUUACUCACACCUCUAAGCAAAUUUCAACUUAAAGUUACCUUUAAAAUGUAAAUUAAAGCUAAGAAAUUAUUUUUUCCACAAUGAUGCCUCAUGUACAUCAUCUUAUUGUCUUUUGGGAAACACCUGUGUCAUUUCCAAUCACAUAAAAACUUGCUGGUUGAAUAAAAGUAACUUUAAGCCAACAUUUGUGGGGAGUAUGAAUAAUUUCAGGCUUGACUGUAGGUGCAGGAAAAUGUAAGUUAUUUUGUUUUGGUUAACAGAAUAUUUUGAUAGUAUGUUGGUAGCUAUUUGUCAGAGACUUACAGAGACAGUGUUGGCAAUUUUAGUUAGUAAUCGUACACCUUGUCCUAGAUUUACUUUGUUUCUCUUGCUUUUCAUUCCCACAGUGACAGAACAUUUUUCCCCCAUUUUAGUAACUCUUAAUUUUUCAUCAUCUUCGCCCCCAGUAGUUAAACUUCUAUCUUUAUGCUCUCUGAAUGACAACAUCUGUAUAGCACCAAAACGUUUCAGUAUUUUGUUGUAUUUACAGUGAAGCAAUUGCUUUAAAGCACUUUUUAGAUAUUUUAGUUUUGAUGCUAUACAGAAUUCCCUGCUAGUUACAAGCAGAAAAAUACCAAAAAUAGAUUCUUAAAUGGUUUAAGGGAAACAGAUUCUAAUGUUUCAGACUUUCUUUUAAGCAUAUUUAAAUAUAGCACAUGAUGCAGUGAUAAUGGCUGUAUAAUGCAUUCACAUCAUGGCCUUUCGCAACACCAAAGUACCACAGUUACAAGGAAUAUGGCUGGAUCUGUGCAGGAAUGGUUGUGUUUUCUGGUUUUUGACAGAAGUGUAGAUCCUCACUCGGGGGUUGUUUAUUACACACAAGUGCUACGUCACUUUAACAAAUAUGACUCUUGAUUUUAUUUUUUUUCCGUUGUAUGACAGUGCUCCAGUGUGUCCCAGCCCUUCUAGCUUAGCCCAGUUUGCUUUUAUGCAUGCCCUUUGAAAUUGGUAUCAGAGUCCAGGUGUUGUCCAGAAAGUAAAAUAUUGGCAAGUCAUAUUUAUUGUCUUGGUAGUUUAGCUGUUGUCUGAACAUUUCAUGUCAAAGUAAAUACCCACAUCACAAACACCUUGUAUGCAAACUAAAUGUAAUAAAGCUUUGAAAUUUC